This 97-nucleotide ribosomal RNA is filed under the name uncultured bacterium. RNAcentral's name for it is "partial 16S ribosomal RNA". The record is from RNAcentral.
CGGGUUGUAAAGCUCUUUCAGCCGGAAAGAAAUCGCACUUGCUAAUACUAAGUGUGGAUGACGGUACCGGAAGAAGAAGCACCGGCUAACUACGUGC